CCUACGGGCGGCAGCAGUGGGGAAUAUUGGACAAUGGGCGAAAGCCUGAUCCAGCCAUGCCGCGUGUGUGAAGAAGGCCUUCGGGUUGUAAAGCACUUUCAUUGGGGAAGAAAGCCUUGGGGCUAAUACCCUCGAGGAAGGACAUCACCCACAGAAGAAGCACCGGCUAACUCCGUGCCAGCAGCCGCGGUAAUACGGAGGGUGCGAGCGUUAAUCGGAAUUACUGGGCGUAAAGCGCGCGUAGGCGGUCUGAUAAGCCGGUUGUGAAAGCCCCGGGCUCAACCUGGGAACGGCAUCCGGAACUGUCAGGCUAGAGUGCAGGAGAGGAAGGUAGAAUUCCCGGUGUAGCGGUGAAAUGCGUAGAGAUCGGGAGGAAUACCAGUGGCGAAGGCGGCCUUCUGGACUGACACUGACGCUGAGGUGCGAAAGCGUGGGUAGCAAACAGGAUUAGAUACCCUGGUAGUC
This 465-nucleotide ribosomal RNA is filed under the name Vreelandella stevensii. RNAcentral describes it as "partial 16S ribosomal RNA". It matches the Rfam family "Bacterial small subunit ribosomal RNA", at positions 338 to 795 of the family's 1533-position model. The record is from RNAcentral. Lineage: Bacteria; Pseudomonadati; Pseudomonadota; Gammaproteobacteria; Oceanospirillales; Halomonadaceae.